This 403-nucleotide ribosomal RNA is filed under the name Fusobacteriota bacterium. RNAcentral's name for it is "Fusobacteria bacterium partial 16S ribosomal RNA". It matches the Rfam family "Bacterial small subunit ribosomal RNA", at positions 355 to 776 of the family's 1533-position model. Lineage: Bacteria; Fusobacteriati; Fusobacteriota. The record is from RNAcentral.
UGGGGAAUAUUGCACAAUGGAGGGAACUCUGAUGCAGCGACGCCGCGUGAACGAAGAAGGCUUUCGAGUCGUAAAGUUCUUUUAUAUGGGAAGAUAAUGACGGUACCAUAAGAAAAAGCCCCGGCUAACUACGUGCCAGCAGCCGCGGUAAUACGUAGGGGGCUAGCGUUGUCCGGAAUCACUGGGCGUAAAGGGUUCGCAGGCGGAAAUGCAAGUCAGGUGUAAAAGGCAGUAGCUUAACUACUGUAAGCAUUUGAAACUGCAUAUCUUGAGAAGAGUAGGGGUAAGUUGAAUUUUUAGUGUAGCGGUGAAAUGCGUAGAUAUUAAAAAGAAAACCGGUGGCGAAGGCGACUUACUGGGCUCAUUCUGAAGCUGAGGAACGAAAGCGUGGGUAGCAAACAGG